AUUGAACGCUGGCGGCAUGCCUUACACAUGCAAGUCGAACGGCAGCACGGGAGCAAUCCUGGUGGCGAGUGGCGAACGGGUGAGUAAUACAUCGGAACGUGCCCAGUAGUGGGGGAUCGCCCGGCGAAAGCGGGAUUAAUACCGCAUACGACCUGAGGGUGAAAGCGGGGGAUCGCAAGACCUCGCGCUAUUGGAGCGGCCGAUGUCAGAUUAGCUAGUUGGUGGGGUAAAGGCCUACCAAGGCAACGAUCUGUAGUUGGUCUGAGAGGACGACCAGCCACACUGGGACUGAGACACGGCCCAGACUCCUACGGGAGGCAGCAGUGGGGAAUUUUGGACAAUGGGGGCAACCCUGAUCCAGCAAUGCCGCGUGCAGGAAGAAGGCCUUCGGGUUGUAAACUGCUUUUGUCAGGGAAGAAAUCCUCUGGGUUAAUACCUCGGGGGGAUGACGGUACCUGGAGAAUAAGCACCGGCUAACUACGUGCCAGCAGCCGCCGUAA
This 500-nucleotide ribosomal RNA is filed under the name uncultured bacterium. RNAcentral describes it as "partial 16S ribosomal RNA". It matches the Rfam family "Bacterial small subunit ribosomal RNA", at positions 29 to 523 of the family's 1533-position model. The record is from RNAcentral.